AACGAACGCUGGCGGCAUGCCUAACACAUGCAAGUCGAACGAGACCUUCGGGUCUAGUGGCGCACGGGUGCGUAACGCGUGGGAAUCUACCAUUGGGUUCGGAAUAACAGUUAGAAAUGACUGCUAAUACCGGAUGAUGACGUAAGUCCAAAGAUUUAUCGCCCAAGGAUGAGCCCGCGUAAGAUUAGCUCGUUGGUGGGGUAAUGGCCUACCAAGGCGACGAUCUUUAGCUGGUCUGAGAGGAUGAUCAGCCACACUGGGACUGAGACACGGCCCAGACUCCUACGGGAGGCAGCAGUGGGGAAUAUUGGACAAUGGGCGAAAGCCUGAUCCAGCAAUGCCGCGUGAGUGAUGAGGGCCUUAGGGUUGUAAAGCUCUUUUACCAGGGAUGAUAAUGACAGUACCUGGAGAAUAAGCUCCGGCUAACUCCGUGCCAGCAGCCGCAGUAA
This 449-nucleotide ribosomal RNA is filed under the name uncultured bacterium. Its description in RNAcentral is "partial 16S ribosomal RNA". It matches the Rfam family "Bacterial small subunit ribosomal RNA", at positions 29 to 523 of the family's 1533-position model. The record is from RNAcentral.